Cyprinodon variegatus (sheepshead minnow) is the source of this 296-nucleotide long non-coding RNA. RefSeq lists it as uncharacterized. NCBI's taxonomy places the organism in Eukaryota, Metazoa, Chordata, Actinopteri, Cyprinodontiformes, Cyprinodontidae. The record is from RefSeq and is a predicted model, not a curated record. The transcript is spliced from 3 exons.
CUUUUGGUCAGAAGAGGAAGAGCAAGCCCAGCCCAGGGAGAGACGCUGAGAGGAUGAAACUCUGACACGCCGGCAGACCACAGGGAAACAAGAGCACAACUAUAAUUGCUUGGAAAGAAUCACCCAGGAAGGUCAGCCAAGACUCCCGCUGUAGGUGCCAAAGUGAGAUCUCCAGGACUACAAUUACUUCGGCUGCAGAGCAAAGUGAAUGACAGGGACGGCGCUUAAGCUGGACUCCACCCCCUGCAGCAGCUACUGACUUCCAAUCCUAAAAUCUACAAACAGGUAGGAAGUGA